Molecule: long non-coding RNA, 3695 nt
Filed under: Gadus morhua (Atlantic cod)
Lineage: Eukaryota; Metazoa; Chordata; Actinopteri; Gadiformes; Gadidae
Description: lncRNA (ENSGMOG00000027652.1)
Source: RNAcentral
CCUGUGGCCUGUGUUACGUGUGCACUGUAGGUUUUGUUCAGUAUGUUGAAGACUGACCUAGGGAGGGUAAAGAAAGCUGACCACUAUGGGAGAACACUGUCUUGGACGUCUGGCCUGCAUUCUGGGCUCCGUUCUCUUCUUCAUCAUCAGCCUGAUCUUCAAUGGACUGGCUGUAGUUGGAAUAUCCCCCUUCACCAGCACCACAGCCAACGUGUCGGCAGUGUUUGACACACAGGCAACCCCCAUAGGAUGGACCUUUAACAUCUGGGCCCUCAUCUACAUCUUUCUGAUCGGGAUGAAUGUCUACAUCAUCGCUGGCCUGUGCAGAAUGAACAGCUAUGGGUAUGUGUACUGCAGCCCCCCAGUGCUGCCCUAUGGCUUCUUCAUCAGCUGGUGCAUCAACAUGGGCUUCAACAUCGGAUGGCUCAUUCUCUGGGACCAAGGGUCCAUGCUUGCCGCAUUGAUGUUCCUCCUGGUGGUCAUUGUGACCAACUACGCCAUGAUGGCCUUCUCUUGCCACGGGCUCCAUGUCUACGGAGCGUGGCUCAACAAGUACCACCGAGUGGACCUCUGGCUGCUCCGCAUCCUUGUCCAGAACGGCCUGGGUCUGUACACCACGUGGACCACCAUCGCCACUCUGAUCAACCUGAGCAUCGUCCUGACCUACGACGUCCACCUGACCCCGCUGGACGCCGCCACCGUGGCCUAUGCCCUGCUGACCGCAGUGCUACUGGGCUGGUUCAUAUUGGAGAACUUUGUCAUCGAUAAACACAUGCGCUACACGCUGACCAUCUACCCCGUGGUGAUCUGGGCCCUGUCAGGGAACCUUGUGAAGAACUUUGAUGCGACAUCCCCUAACCGCAACGGUGUCUUUAUUGCGGUGCUGCUGGCUGUAGCCUGUUUCCUGUUCGCCACGAGGAUCAUUCUGGUCAUCUGGAGAAGCAUCCAACACCCGCUGUAUGAAGACGUGGAUCCAGCGGACAUGCAGCCCAUGGAGGCAGCGGCAAGACAGAAGAAGGCGCUUCGUUGAAGUGCUCGUUAUUUAAAUAUGGGACGAUAUUAUGUAUCGGAUGAUAUUUGUUGGCAGCACAUUUUGUCUUGUGUUUAUGGUAGAUCAAUAAAUCUAUAUCUGAUAAAUUAUAAAAUGCAUUGUAGUAUAAUUUGCACAAAAGUAGGCACCAUUAUUUGAUAUAAAUUGAAAACUGAUUUUCUGAUAUUUUAUGGCCCUUUCAUGAUGGUCAAAAAAACAGAGAUAAGAAAACUGAUAGAAAACAGUAAAAAUCCCUUUGAAGAUUUUUUAUUAAUCUACGAUUCAAUCGCAUGCCUAACCCCUUUAAGUUGAUUGUUGUAUUGUAGUUGUGUUGAAUAUAAAUGGAACAUGUAAAUAAAUUAAAUCAACCAAUAAUUUCAGAAAUUAACUAAUUUAAUCAAAAUAAUGUAUACACCUUACUGGAUCAAUAGUAUUUUGUUUUUUAAAACACAAAUUCCAAGAACAUGUUUUUUUUGUAAAUGGCAAUGAUUAACUUCCAAUGUAGCCCUGUAGAUGGGCAUAGUGCUCCACUUCAUUUUUUAAUAUUGAUAGGCCUACUGAAAGAUACAUUUAUACAUUAUAGCCAUUUGAUUUGUCGAUUUAGUAAACUUUGAAAAGUACACAAUUUCAAGGAACGGAUAGUAACAUAAAACCUGAUUAAAAACAGACUGGAGCCUGUAGUUCGCCUGACCACUAGGGGGCAGAGAACCAACCGGAGGUUCUUAACUCCUGACCCUUCAUUCACACUUCAUGCGCCCGUCGACGGAUGACCGAGGGCUUGUCUGACGUAUAGGGGACUAGUCUUUUGCCGCUUUGAAAAAAGCUCUGAGGUUCGGAAGCUCUUGCGUGUCUUUACGUAAACCUUCCCUUCUUCCGAAAUAAGAGUGUUCAGGAAACGCCCUUCAGAAGUUCGUAGGCUGUGCCAUAAAACCACAACUGCAGGGACCUCUUUGCGUUUCUUGGCUUUAAUCAGAAUAAUCAGUUAUUAGAACUGCUUGCGAUGGUUGAACAUGAGCGAGAAUUUAUCAGGUGAUGGUUAUAAUUGUAAACUAUAAUUUAUCGUAAUGCAAAUAUUUGAAUGGGUGUUAAAGGCCCACUAUGCAACUUUUUUAGCCAAAAUUACAUUAAUUAUGCUGGUUGAGAGUUAUUCUGAUGGUUCUGCAACCAUUCCUGGGUCGUUUGGUGGGUGUGUCAUUGCCCCAUGUCACCUCUCCAAGGAAAAAGCGCAUAUGCAACUUGCUCUGUUCGGACCGACACAAUCCGGAUGUGACGCAACGGAAGUAUCCAAUCGCGCCUCGAAAAUGUAGUCAGAUUGUAGUUUCGAAAAUUCUUUACGGCACAGACACACACCCAAACAUGGCACCGGCUAGAUAUAAACAGCCAGUUGCGAGGCAAUUGUUGCAUUCAUCAUGGAUCAAUCGACUGAUAAGGGACCCAAGAGGCGACUGUCGGUGGAACAAAAGAAGAAUGGACCAGAAAAGAGAUCAGACACGAGUGAAAGGGGAACUAUGCAACUUUUUUGGCUUGAUUUACCUUAAUAUAACAGGCUAAGAGUCAUUGCGAUGGUUCUAUUAUACAUUUUUGUUCGAUUGUUCGUUGUUUCGACUCCCCCUUGCGCAUCUUGGCGGAGAAAAGGAAUAUGUUUCUGCCGGCGACCCGCCGCCCACUCUCGCGGGAGGCUCGGGUCUCGUGAAGUAACGAAUUGCUUUACGGCACAGACCCCCAAACACGGAACCGGCUCGAUAUAAACACAAGUAACUAAGGGAUUGUUACAUUCAUCAUAGAUCAGCCGACUAAAAAGAGACAGAGAAACCCAAUGUCGGAGGAACAGAAGAAGAGAAAAGGGAGAAGGACCGACAGAGAGGCCAGACACGAGUAAACGUUGGUCAAGCUUUUCAGGAAUAGCGUGAACUGAAAGAAAAAGAAGACUGCAAAUCAGACGCCGACUUGGCCGUGUUGCUUUUGAAAUUGAAAGUUUCCUUGGGUGAACUUUGUCUUCGUGGUAUUCUUGAUGUUGAUAGUCUCUGCACAAAUGUGUUUGCUCAACCAUUUUGUUGUGAGCCCUGUAAAAAUUGUAUUCUCGACCGUUUUGUUGUGUGCCCUGUAUGUUUCUAGCUUGCUUGGUUGAAAGAAGUGCAUGGGGAAGGGUCGUCAACGAGUUGUUACGACAGUGUUGUAAAAUAUCUACUACGAAGCUGUAGGGGGCGCUGUGUAGAGAAAUGUGCGUGCCAAAACCAAGAAAACAGCGAAGAAAUGCCCGAAGUUGCAUAGUGGGCCUUUAAGUUUACCCCCUAGUGCUUGCUGCAAGUUAACAUUAGUCUCAAAUAAAAAAGUGGCAGCCAUUGUUGUGACGUGAUCUCAGAGGACUCGGUACAUCCGCACGAAACUCCGAGCGAAAACUCAGACCCAACAGAGUGUUCAAAGCACCUUCCUCCGAGUUUAAACGGGAAAUCCGGUGUAAAAUGGAUCAGGGAUAUUUUUUGUAUGAUAUCAAGUUUGGAAUGUUCGUUUGGGAGCAAAAAAGCGCGUAUAGACGGAUUCUUACGUUGGCUGUUUUUAGCAGAUUCUACCAAAACGCUAUAAACUUGGAACGAUGGGGGUAUUUGUUAUGGUAAAAACUAAGGCGCUAUUUUAAACCAUUUAAAAGGCUAGAAGUAGCCCGACA